This 482-nucleotide ribosomal RNA is filed under the name uncultured bacterium. RNAcentral's name for it is "partial 16S ribosomal RNA". It matches the Rfam family "Bacterial small subunit ribosomal RNA", at positions 30 to 507 of the family's 1533-position model. The record is from RNAcentral.
AUUGAACGCUGGCGGCAUGCCUUACACAUGCAAGUCGAACGGUAACAGGUCUUCGGAUGCUGACGAGUGGCGAACGGGUGAGUAAUACAUCGGAACGUGCCCGAUCGUGGGGGAUAACGAAGCGAAAGCUUUGCUAAUACCGCAUACGAUCUACGGAUGAAAGCAGGGGACCGCAAGGCCUUGCGCGAACGGAGCGGCCGAUGGCAGAUUAGGUAGUUGGUGGGUUAAAAGCUUACCAAGCCGACGAUCUGUAGCUGGUCUGAGAGGACGACCAGCCACACUGGGACUGAGACACGGCCCAGACUCCUACGGGAGGCAGCAGUGGGGAAUUUUGGACAAUGGGCGAAAGCCUGAUCCAGUCAUGCCGCGUGCAGGAUGAAGGCCUUCGGGUUGUAAACUGCUUUUGUACGGAACGAAAAGACUCUGGUUAAUACCUGGGGUCCAUGACGGUACCGUAAGAAUAAGCACCGGCUAACUACGUG